RNAcentral lists this long non-coding RNA (641 nucleotides) under Sus scrofa (pig). RNAcentral describes it as "lncRNA (ENSSSCG00050052516.1)". Lineage: Eukaryota; Metazoa; Chordata; Mammalia; Artiodactyla; Suidae. The record is from RNAcentral.
CACCUCUGCCUUUGGGUUCUUGAUGAACUUCCAACGGCUCAGUGCCUCCUUUGCUCACUCGGGCAUCCUCUGCACGUCCAGCACAGGUCCCCGGGGUCUUCAAAGAGGUUUUCAAGCGUGUAGAAAAAAAUACAGCCCGGUGGCUGGGAUGAAGCACGUGACAACCUUGUGAGAUGAGGAAGGAACUGACUUCCCUCGGCCCUGAUGGGGACACAGGAGCCCUGGGAGCUGACAGCAUUUGUCCAAAGCAGCUGAGUGGGGCAGCCGAGGAUCUCAUCCACUCCCCCAAUUCUGCUGCUGCCAGGAAACAGCACCCAAGGAUCCAGGAUCAGCCUCCAUCCCACCCUCCUCUUGGCAAGGAUCCAGGAUCAGCCUCUAUCCCACCCUCCUCUUGGCAAGUAUCCAGGAUCAGCCUCCAUCCCACCCUCCUCUUGGCAAGUCUCUGCUCUCAGGGCUUGAGGGACAAAAAAAAAAAAAAAAAAAAAAAAAAAAGUGUGAUCAAAUCAGAAAGAGACCCAGGGGUUUCAUCCCAGUGUCUCAGGAGCACUAGCAAAGUCGAAAGCUCUGGUUCCACAAUGCUGUUCAAGCUGGCCUUGGCCUCCAGUGCCCCCUGCACGAGUCCCUCUGAUAACUCACAGUGA